Molecule: ribosomal RNA, 787 nt
Filed under: uncultured bacterium
Lineage: Bacteria
Description: bacterial SSU rRNA
Rfam family: Bacterial small subunit ribosomal RNA
Source: RNAcentral
CCGUUCUGCGGGGGAUAGCCGGCCCAACGGCCGGGUAAUACCGCAUACGCUCACCGGGCGGCAUCGUCUGGUGAGGAAACCUCAGGGGCGGAACGAGGGGCUCGCGGCCUAUCAGCUAGUUGGCGGGGUAACGGCCCACCAAGGCAUCGACGGGUAGCUGGUCUGAGAGGAUGGCCAGCCACAUUGGGACUGCGACACGGCCCAGACUCCUACGGGAGGCAGCAGUGGGGAAUAUUGCGCAAUGGCCGCAAGGCUGACGCAGCGACGCCGCGUGGAGGAUGACGCCCCUCGGGGUGUAAACUCCUGUUGCUCGGGACGAACCAUGGGUUUCGACCCAUCUGACGGUACCGAGUGAGGAAGCACCGGCUAACUCCGUGCCAGCAGCCGCGGUAAUACGGAGGGUGCGAGCGUUGUCCGGAAUCACUGGGCGUAAAGGGCGCGUAGGCGGUCCGGUAAGCGUGUGGUGAAAGCCCGGGGCUCAACCCCGGGUCUGCCGUGCGAACUGCCGGACUCGAGCACUGUAGAGGCAGGUGGAGUUCCGAGUGUAGCGGUGGAAUGCGUAGAGAUUCGGAGGAACACCGGUGGCGAAGGCGGCCUGCUGGGCAGUGUCUGACGCUGAGGCGCGACAGCGUGGGGAGCAAACAGGAUUAGAUACCCUGGUAGUCCACGCCGUAAACGAUGGGCACUAGGUGCUUCGGGGAGCGACCCCCGGAGUGCCGGCGCUAACGCAUUAAGUGCCCCGCCUGGGGAGUACGGCCGCAAGGCUGAAACUCAAAGGAAUUGACGG